RNAcentral lists this unclassified non-coding RNA (178 nucleotides) under soil metagenome. RNAcentral describes it as "partial internal transcribed spacer 1". The record is from RNAcentral.
UCGGGUUACCGCUCUACAACCCUUUGUGAACAUACCUAACUGUUGCCUCGGCGGGCAGGGGGUCCCCCCGGGGACGCCCUCCCGGCCCCGCCCCCCUACCAGGGGACGUGGCGCCCGCCGGAGGAUACCCAACUCUAUUUUAACGACGUUUCUUCUGAGUGGCACAAGCAAAUAAUUA